GACGGAGGGUGCGAGCGUUAAUCGGAAUUACUGGGCGUAAAGCGUGCGCAGGCGGUUCGUUAAGUCAGCUGUGAAAGCCCCGGGCUCAACCUGGGAAUUGCGGUUGAAACUGGCGAACUAGAAUCUGGCAGAGGGGGGUGGAAUUCCACGUGUAGCAGUGAAAUGCGUAGAGAUGUGGAGGAACACCGAUGGCGAAGGCAGCCCCCUGGGCUGAGAUUGACGCUCAGGCACGAAAGCGUGGGGAGCAAACAGG
Molecule: ribosomal RNA, 253 nt
Filed under: uncultured bacterium
Lineage: Bacteria
Description: partial 16S ribosomal RNA
Rfam family: Bacterial small subunit ribosomal RNA
Source: RNAcentral